Molecule: ribosomal RNA, 228 nt
Filed under: Parmeliaceae sp. R0090014
Lineage: Eukaryota; Fungi; Ascomycota; Lecanoromycetes; Lecanorales; Parmeliaceae
Description: partial 18S ribosomal RNA
Source: RNAcentral
UCCGGAACGCCCCAGCAGCGACUCUAAACAACUGCAUUAGUCGCCCUGAACGGGCUGGCAACGCCGUCACUGUGCGCCGGAAAGUCCCCCGAACUCGGGGUCAACCGGCAGCUCCAGCUUUUUUGGAGUUCACAGAUCAAACGAUAGCGGCCACUUCGGUGGUUGAGAUAUGAACGGCCCCUGCUGUUACCAGCUGGAGACUUUGCGGAACCUGCGGAAGGAUCAUUA